Molecule: ribosomal RNA, 494 nt
Filed under: uncultured bacterium
Lineage: Bacteria
Description: partial 16S ribosomal RNA
Rfam family: Bacterial small subunit ribosomal RNA
Source: RNAcentral
GACGAACGUUGGCGGCGCGCUUAACACAUGCAAGUCGAACGGAAAGGCCUGCUUUCCCUUGUGGAUUGCGGGUACUCGAGUGGCGAACGGGUGAGUAACACGUGAGUGAUCUGCCCCCAACUUGGGUAUAAGCCUGGGAAACUGGGCCUAAUUCCCGAUAGGACUGCAGGGUGGUGCCUGUGGUGGAAAACGAUUUUCUAGUGGUUGGGGAUGAGCUCGCGGCCUAUCAGCUUGUUGGUGGGGUAAUGGCCUACCAAGGCGGCGACGGGUAGCCGGCCUGAGAGGGUGGACGGCCACAUUGGGACUGAGAUACGGCCCAGACUCCUACGGGAGGCAGCAGUGGGGAAUAUUGCACAAUGGGCGGAAGCCUGAUGCAGCGACGCCGCGUGGGGGAUGACGGCCUUCGGGUUGUAAACUCCUUUCGACCGCGAGGAAGCCACCUGGUUGGAAGGGUGGUGACGGUAGUGGUAGAAGAAGCACCGGCUAACUACGUG